This 463-nucleotide ribosomal RNA is filed under the name Vreelandella stevensii. Its description in RNAcentral is "partial 16S ribosomal RNA". It matches the Rfam family "Bacterial small subunit ribosomal RNA", at positions 338 to 795 of the family's 1533-position model. Lineage: Bacteria; Pseudomonadati; Pseudomonadota; Gammaproteobacteria; Oceanospirillales; Halomonadaceae. The record is from RNAcentral.
CCUACGGGUGGCAGCAGUGGGGAAUAUUGGACAAUGGGCGAAAGCCUGAUCCAGCCAUGCCGCGUGUGUGAAGAAGGCCUUCGGGUUGUAAAGCACUUUCAGUGGGGAAGAAAGCCUUGGGGCUAAUACCCUCGAGGAAGGACAUCACCCACAGAAGAAGCACCGGCUAACUCCGUGCCAGCAGCCGCGGUAAUACGGAGGGUGCAGCGUUAAUCGGAAUUACUGGGCGUAAAGCGGGCGUAGGCGGUCUGAUAAGCCGGUUGUGAAAGCCCCGGGCUCAACCUGGGAACGGCAUCCGGAACGGUCAGGCUAGGGUGGAGGAGAGGAAGGUAGAAUUCCCGGUGUAGCGGGGAAAUGCGUAGAGAUAGGGAGGAAUCCCAGUGGCGAAGGAGGCCUUCUGGACUGACACUGACGCUGAGGUGCGAAGGCGUGGGUAGCAAACAGGAUUAGAUACCCGGUAGUC